RNAcentral lists this ribosomal RNA (449 nucleotides) under uncultured bacterium. RNAcentral's name for it is "partial 16S ribosomal RNA". It matches the Rfam family "Bacterial small subunit ribosomal RNA", at positions 354 to 796 of the family's 1533-position model. The record is from RNAcentral.
GUGGGGAAUAUUGGACAAUGGGCGAAAGCCUGAUCCAGCCAUGCCGCGUGUGUGAAGAAGGUCUUCGGAUUGUAAAGCACUUUAAGUUGGGAGGAAGGGCAGUAAGUUAAUACCUUGCUGUUUUGACGUUACCAACAGAAUAAGCACCGGCUAACUUCGUGCCAGCAGCCGCGGUAAUACGAAGGGUGCAAGCGUUAAUCGGAAUUACUGGGCGUAAAGCGCGCGUAGGUGGUUCAGCAAGUUGAAGGUAAAAUCCCCGGGCUCAACCUGGGAACUGCCUCCAAAACGACUGAGCUAGAUUACGGUAGAGGGUAGGGAAUUUCCUGUGUAGCGGUGAAAUGCGUAGAUAUAGGAAGGAACACCAGUGGCGAAGGCGACUACCUGGACUGAUACUGACACUGAGGUGCGAAAGCGUGGGGAGCAAACAGGAUUAGAAACCCUGGUAGUCC